Molecule: non-coding RNA, 1266 nt
Organism: Erythranthe guttata (spotted monkey flower)
Lineage: Eukaryota; Viridiplantae; Streptophyta; Magnoliopsida; Lamiales; Phrymaceae
Source: RefSeq, a predicted model, not a curated record
CCGUUAGAAAUUUCUAACGAUUUUUAUCCGUUAGAACCGCAAGUUAUCUGUUAGUAUUAAUAACAAAUUAUUUUUAUUAAUUUUGUAACAGCUUAUAAAAUACGACUAACACUUGUAGUGCGUUAGUAAUAAGUGAACAACAACUAUUUUUUUAUAUAUUAAAUUAAUAAAGAGGGCAGCAAUUUAUUUAAAUUAAAACUUAAAAGGCAUUCCUUCUUCUCUUAUUUGGAUGUACGCUAAUUGACGAGAAAUAAAAGAAUGAGAAUAAAUAAGCCUUGACUCAGCGACGACAGGGUAACAUUCGCCGAUGCCGCCACCGCCACCGCCUCGUCCUCCUCCGCCGCGGCUGCCACUACCACCACCGCACAAGCAACAAUUUUUCAGUAGCAAUCGGAUUUUGAACGAUGUAUGGACGACGACGACGACGACGACGGCAAUAAAGUUUUAGGGUUUCCACUUCCCCUUCCAACAUCGUCUAUUGGACACCAUCCUUGUAUAAUUUACAGCGGCGGGUGAUUAGGACCGCGACGAAAACAUCAAUUGAUACAAUUUCAGAGAAUGGGAGGAAUUGGACAUUUCAAUAUACCUGGUUUAAGAGGUGUUAUUACACAAGGUACUAGAAAGGUUCUCUAACGUGUUGAAUGGAUUGUAUUCGAUUAUUUCUUUUGCUAACUUGUGAUGCUUUCUGUAUAUAUUGCAGAAGCACAUGAUGUAGUUGGGGAGAAGAAACUCGAGGCUCUAUAAACAGAGGUAUAGGUAUAUUAGUAUGCCAUUUUAUUUUGCUGAAAAUUGAUAUAAAUUGAUAUUAUGUAUUGAGCUAUCGAAAAAUACUUGAUUAUAUUAAUUUUAUCACCGAUGUUGUGCUUUCCCGAGUAGCAAUAGAUAAGAGAUUGUCUCUGAUUAAAGCAUGGAAAGAAAGUGAGAACUCAAAAGCAGAAAACAAGUCUCGGAAGAAAAUAUCUACUAUUGGAGAUUAGGAGAACAUUCGGACAAUGACCCUAGGAGCCGAGCUUAAGAAGAUAGAGGACAUCUGAGUUCAAGCUUGGUGGGGCAGGAGUUCAUCUGUUAUAUUUAAAUUACAAUUUUUUUUUUGUUCAAUGUAAAUGAAUGUUGUUGUAAUGGUUUAUGGUAUAUUGAUCAUAUUGAUACUCUAGGUUGAAUUCUUUAUAGAAUAGUGGAAAAUUCAUUGUAAUGAAUGACUAUUUUUAUGUAAAUUUAAAUUUUGUUAUUUGUGACCUGUUUUUGAAAUAAUAUAUUUCUUUUUCA